Molecule: ribosomal RNA, 253 nt
Filed under: uncultured bacterium
Lineage: Bacteria
Description: partial 16S ribosomal RNA
Rfam family: Bacterial small subunit ribosomal RNA
Source: RNAcentral
UACGUAGGGAGCAAGCGUUAUCCGGAUUUAUUGGGUGUAAAGGGUGCGUAGACGGGUAGGCAAGUUGGUUGUGAAAUCCCUCGGCUUAACUGAGGAACUGCAACCAAAACUAUCUUUCUUGAGUGCUGGAGAGGAAAGUGGAAUUCCUAGUGUAGCGGUGAAAUGCGUAGAUAUUAGGAGGAACACCAGUGGCGAAGGCGACUUUCUGGACAGUAACUGACGUUGAGGCACGAAAGUGUGGGGAGCAAACAGG